This is an RNA transcript of Ziziphus jujuba (common jujube), 3565 nucleotides long. It is a transcript of the gene named serine/threonine protein phosphatase 2A regulatory subunit B''alpha, with no coding region annotated. The record is from RefSeq and is a predicted model, not a curated record. NCBI's taxonomy places the organism in Eukaryota, Viridiplantae, Streptophyta, Magnoliopsida, Rosales, Rhamnaceae. The transcript has 15 exons.
GCAAAAGGCAGUCAGAAUCUUGACCAGAAAGUCUCCGUCCGUGGAGUUGCGGUUUCCGUUAGAAAGCGUACGUGGUCUUAUACUUGGUUCUCUUCUUUCUUCCACUGUUUUGAUGGGUUUGGUUUUCUAUGCGGUUCGCACAGUUUCUCUUCCUACCGCAAAAAAAUUAUAACCCUCCGGUUCCAUUUUCUCGGAAUCUCCAAUUUCCGUUAAUCAGCUCUCUUUUAUAUCUCUUUCUCUCUCUCUCUCUCUCUGCGGGUUCGAUAUUCCAGUUCUCGAACCGAGAACUUUUUCUUUUUCUUUCUUGAAUUUCCGAAGCUUUAGAGAGAGAAAAAAAUAUUGUUUUUGAGUAGUGUUGCGGAUUUUUUUAUUUUAUUUUUUUCUGGUUUUUGUUGCCGAAAAUCAUCGGCUUUUACUUUCUGCUUCGUGAGCUUCGACAUCUUUUUGGAUUUUUCGAGGCUGUAAUUUGAGCUCGCGAUGAUGGUGCACUUCUUCUACUCGCAGUGCGCGAAAAUACGAAGUGGUUUGGUUUUUUCUCCUUUUUUCUUAUAAGAAAGCAUAAGAAUUAAGGAGCAGAGCUAAAAUUUUCGUAAAGGAUCGUGUGUUCUUUUACCGGUGCUUGAACUAUUUCUUCGAACCUAGGGUUUCUGGAGCGCUAGGUGUAUUAUUCUUUCUGGUUCGAUUUUGCUUGUAUAUGGAAAGUUGUUUUUUGAAGAAGCAUUCGAAGUGAAACUCGGUGAUGGUUAUAGAUUAUUCAUUUGAAAUUAGAAUCUUUCUAUGCUUGCAAGUGAGCUAGACGGAAGUUUGGAGUAGCUGGAUUUGGAUUGCAAUAGCCAGUUGUAUGAGAUUAAGAGCUUAUCUGAACAAUGGAUAUCGAUGCUUCUGGGGAUGUUACAUCUUUGGAUCCUGAGCUGUUGCAGCUUCCGGAGUUGUCUCCAUUGGCCCUAAAAACGAAUCCGCAAAUUGCCGAGGAUUUGUUCGCUCAGUGGCUUUCCCUUCCUGAAACUGGACGACUGGUGAAAUCUUUAAUUGAAGAUGCAAGAGCGGGCACUCCGUUUAAUGCCCUUGGAAACUCAAACAGCGUCAAUGUUGCUGGGAGCAAUAUGUUGCCUUCUAUGUUUCCUGCGGCCACCACCCCUCCACUCUCUCCGAGAAGUUCAUCUGGUUCUCCACGCGUGUCAAAACAGCGAACCAGUCCUUCUUCACUUGGUUCUCCUCUAAAGUUAGUUACUGAACAAGUUCGAGAAGUCAUUCCUCAGUUCUAUUUCCGAGAUGGUCGUCCUCCAUCGAAUGAUAUAAAAGAACAAUGCCUCUCUAGGAUUAAUGACAUUUUCAACAAAAAAAUGGAUGGAUUGCAAAUGCAUGAAUUUAAGUCGAUUACAAAGGAAAUAUGCAGGCUUCCUUCUUUUUUCUCCUCUCCGCUUUUCAGGAAGAUAGACACUGACGACACUGGGAUAGUUACUAGGGAUGCAUUCAUUAAAUAUUGGGUUGAUGGAAAUAUGCUGACAAUGGAUACAGCGACUCAGAUGUUUAAAAUUUUAAAGCAGCCUGCUUGCAAUUACCUUUCCAAGGUAGACUUCAAACCUCUUCUUCUAGAGCUUUUGGCAACACAUCCAGGGUUGGAAUUCUUACAGAGCACACCAGAAUUUCAAGAGCGAUAUGCUGAAACAGUCAUAUAUAGAAUAUUUUACUACAUCAAUAAAUCAGGAAAUGGUCGUCUUACCCUCAGGGAGCUAAAACGAGGAAAUCUAAUUGCUGCCAUACAACAUGCAGAUGAGGAAGAAGACAUUAACAAAGUACUAAGAUACUUCUCAUAUGAACAUUUUUAUGUUAUAUACUGCAAAUUUUGGGAGCUGGAUACAGACCAUGAUUUCUUGAUUGACAAGGAGAACCUCAUCAGAUAUGGCAACCAUGCUCUUACCUACAGAAUUGUUGAGAGAAUAUUUUCACAGACUCCAAGGAAGUUUACUAGCAAGGUUGAAGGUAAGAUGGGUUAUGAAGACUUUGUUUACUUCAUGCUGUCAGAGGAGGAUAAGUCAGCUGACCCUAGCCUUGAAUAUUGGUUCAAAUGCAUAGAUUUGGAUGGAAAUGGAGUCCUUACACCCAGUGAGUUGCAGUUCUUUUAUGAGGAGCAGCUUCAUCGUAUGGAAUGCUUGGCCCAAGAACCUGUGCUUUUUGAGGAUAUUUUGUGUCAAAUAAUUGAUAUGGUUGCGCCAAAGAGGGAAGAAUAUAUCACACUGAACGAUUUGAAAGGAUGCAAACUCUCAGGAAACGUUUUCAAUAUCCUUUUCAAUCUUAAUAAGUUUAUGGCUUUUGAAAGCCGUGAUCCAUUUCUUAUUCGUCAGGAACGUGAAGAUCCCACUAUGACAGAGUGGGACCGCUUUGCUCAUAGAGAAUAUAUUAGGCUUUCAAUGGAAGAAGAUGGCGAAGAUGCCUCCAAUGGAAGUAUAGAAGUGUGGGAUGAAUCAUUUGAAGCUCCAUUUUAAGUUCAAUGAGCUGAUUGUUACAGAAUUCGCUAGUCUUUCUUUGAAGUUGGUUGUUUAGUGAAGAAACAUUUCACUUUGGCAAUGCGCUGCGAAACACAAAUCAGGUGCUCCCUUUUGUCCAGUCAGCGUUGGCCUUGUGGAGCUGAAACUGAAGGUGAGCUAUAGAAUGGAGUUUACAGUGGCAUAUUUCCUGUCUGGUGAGUAAUCAUUGGCCAGGAGGGAGGAUAAUGCCUUGUGCAGCGACCACUCAGCGGUGACCAUCGCAGUCUUGCCAGUGGUGUUCCCUUAUAUUUGUAACUAAUUAAACAUUAAACAUAGUGGGGUUGCCUAUUAAUUGUAAAUAAUUAAAUAUGGUCUUUUGAAAUAAGGCUAAUAGAUUGAACUUAAAAGAUUUACGAAAACCAAGCAACUAUAUGAAAUGAAAAAGAGACGGAAGGAAAAAUAAGCAUCACCCACUAGUGGCGUGGCCUCAAUUAAAUAUCGGGUUUUUGAGAAUAUUAUGUCUUGAUCACAUAUGAAAUUUGAGUGAUAUUGAAGCAAUAGAUUACAGAAGCUUAACCCUUCAUAAUUGAUUUGCACGGUUAUGGCUAUGGUAGACUACAGGACUAUUAGUUCGGGGCAUAUACAGUGUGUACAUGUGUUUAUAUGUACAUAUUUAGAACCUUUUUUUGGCUGAAAAAAAAGGGCACGACGGUAACCAUAUAUGAUAAAUCAAUCUUCUUAUUAACACGAAAUUCCUAUAACUUGAAAAAGCAGAUACCAUGAGAAUAGCAGACGAAUUAACGGACAUUAUAAAACCAUUAUACAUCAGACAAGAUGCAUGGAGCAAGCUACGUCAUAUGUAUCAGGCAAAAUGCAGGCUAUGAAAACCUUUAAAAGAUAUCCUUUGUAGAACUAAACUGUCAAAAUAAUGAUUUAAAUAGAAGUCCCAAGAAUCAAUGGUUCCUUCUACCUAUCAGUACAAUAUAGAAAACUAUCCAGAACUGAGAACCACUUGAAAAAAAAGCUGGAAUAACAAAAAAGUACAAACUCAUGCUGCACUCCCCUUUUUGAGCUUUGCCAGCUCCUGCCUGAUGAUU